RNAcentral lists this ribosomal RNA (499 nucleotides) under uncultured bacterium. RNAcentral's name for it is "partial 16S ribosomal RNA". It matches the Rfam family "Bacterial small subunit ribosomal RNA", at positions 28 to 507 of the family's 1533-position model. The record is from RNAcentral.
GACGAACGCUGGCGGCGUGCCUAAUACAUGCAAGUCGAGCGGACUGAAUGGGAGCUUGCUCUUGUUCGGUCAGCGGCGGACGGGUGAGUAACACGUGGGCAACCUGCCCGCAAGACCGGGAUAACUCCGGGAAACCGGAGCUAAUACCGGAUAACACCGAAGACCGCAUGGUCUUUGGUUGAAAGGCGGCGCAAGCUGCCACUUGCGGAUGGGCCCGCGGCGCAUUAGCUAGUUGGUGAGGUAACGGCUCACCAAGGCGACGAUGCGUAGCCGGCCUGAGAGGGUGACCGGCCACACUGGGACUGGGACACGGCCCAGACUCCUACGGGAGGCAGCAGUAGGGAAUCUUCCGCAAUGGGCGAAAGCCUGACGGAGCGACGCCGCGUGAGCGAAGAAGGCCUUCGGGUCGUAAAGCUCUGUUGUGAGGGACGAAGGAGCGCCGUUUGAAGAAGGCGGCGCGGUGACGGUACCUCACGAGGAAGCCCCGGCUAACUACGUG